GAUGAAGAACGUAGCGAAAUGCGAUAAGUAAUGUGAAUUGCAGAAUUCAGUGAAUCAUCGAAUCUUUGAACGCACCUUGCGCCCUUUGGCCAAUCCGAAGGGCAUGCCUGUUUGAGUAUCAUGAACACCUCAACUCUUCAUGGUUUUCCGUGAUGAGCUUGGACUUUGGGGGUCUUGCUGGCCUAUGGUCAGCUCCUCUAAAAUAAAUCAGCUUGCCAGUGUUUGGUGGGUAUCACAGGUGUGAUAACUAUCUACGCUUGUGGUUUUCCACCAGGUAACCUUCAGCAGUGGAGGUUCGCUGGAGCUCACAGAUGUGUCUCUCCUCAGUGAGGACAGCUCUUUGAAUGUUUGAUCUCAAAUCAGGUAGGACUACCCGCUGAACUUAAGCAUAUCAAUAAGCGGAGGA
Molecule: unclassified non-coding RNA, 406 nt
Filed under: soil metagenome
Description: partial contains 5.8S ribosomal RNA, internal transcribed spacer 2, and large subunit ribosomal RNA
Rfam family: 5.8S ribosomal RNA (bases 1-121)
Source: RNAcentral